Molecule: ribosomal RNA, 372 nt
Filed under: Miathyria marcella
Lineage: Eukaryota; Metazoa; Arthropoda; Insecta; Odonata; Libellulidae
Description: partial 12S ribosomal RNA
Source: RNAcentral
UGGCGGUAUCCUAUCCUUUGAAAGGAACCUGUCCUGUAAUUGAUAAUCCACGAUAAAGAAAUACUUAUUAUUGUAUACAUUGAGUAUACCUCCGUCAUCAGAAUAUACUUUGAGGUGUAAAUAUUCUAUUAAUAUUAAAUAUUUUAUGUCAGGUCAAGGUGCAAAUUAUGAAUAAGUAGAGAUGGGUUACAAUAAAUUUAUUUAUACGAAUUAAUUUUAUUAUUAUAAUUAUGAAGGUGGAUUUAAAUGUAAAAUUAUUAAUUAAGUAAUUUGAUUUUAGCUCUAAAAUAUGCACACAUCGCCCGUCGCUCUUAUUUUAAAAUAAGAUAAGUCGUAACAUAGUAGGUGUACCGGAAGGUGUUCCUAGAAAGU